CCUACGGGUGGCAGCAGUGAGGAAUAUUGGUCAAUGGACGAGAGUCUGAACCAGCCAAGUAGCGUGAAGGAUGACUGCCCUAUGGGUUGUAAACUUCUUUUAUAUGGGAAUAAAAUGUUCCACGUGUGGCUUUUUGUAUGUACCAUAUGAAUAAGGAUCGGCUAACUCCGUGCCAGCAGCCGCGGUAAUACGGAGGAUCCGAGCGUUAUCCGGAUUUAUUGGGUUUAAAGGGAGCGUAGGUGGUUUGUUAAGUCAGUUGUGAAAGUUUGCGGCUCAACCGUAAAAUUGCAGUUGAAACUGGCAGUCUUGAGUACAGUAGAGGUAGGCGGAAUUCGUGGUGUAGCGGUGAAAUGCUUAGAUAUCACGAAGAACUCCGAUUGCGAAGGCAGCUCACUGGACUGCAACUGACACUGAGGCUCGAAAGUGUGGGUAUCAAACAGGAUUAGAUACCCUGGUAGUC
This 460-nucleotide ribosomal RNA is filed under the name uncultured bacterium. Its description in RNAcentral is "partial 16S ribosomal RNA". It matches the Rfam family "Bacterial small subunit ribosomal RNA", at positions 338 to 795 of the family's 1533-position model. The record is from RNAcentral.